GCGCGAUUAGCUCAGCGGGAGAGCACUUCCCUGACACGGAAGAGGUCACUGGUUCAAUCCCAGUAUCGCGCA
Molecule: transfer RNA, 72 nt
Filed under: Mycobacterium leprae
Lineage: Bacteria; Bacillati; Actinomycetota; Actinomycetes; Mycobacteriales; Mycobacteriaceae
Also listed under: 1 other name
Description: hypothetical protein
Rfam family: tRNA
About the family: Transfer RNA (tRNA) molecules are approximately 80 nucleotides in length. Their secondary structure includes four short double-helical elements and three loops (D, anti-codon, and T loops). Further hydrogen bonds mediate the characteristic L-shaped molecular structure. tRNAs have two regions of fundamental functional importance: the anti-codon, which is responsible for specific mRNA codon recognition, and the 3' end, to which the tRNAs corresponding amino acid is attached (by aminoacyl-tRNA synthetases). tRNAs cope with the degeneracy of the genetic code in two manners: having more than one tRNA (with a specific anti-codon) for a particular amino acid; and 'wobble' base-pairing, i.e. permitting non-standard base-pairing at the 3rd anti-codon position.
Source: RNAcentral